RNAcentral lists this ribosomal RNA (415 nucleotides) under uncultured bacterium. Its description in RNAcentral is "bacterial SSU rRNA". It matches the Rfam family "Bacterial small subunit ribosomal RNA", at positions 28 to 428 of the family's 1533-position model. The record is from RNAcentral.
AAUCAACGCUGGCGGCGUACUUAACACAUGCAAGUCGGACGGGGAUCGUCGGGUUAGCAAUAAUUCGGCGGUUCUAGUGGCGCACGGGUGAGUAACACGUGGGUAACCUGCCCUUGAGUUCGGGAUACCCCCUCGAAAGGGGGGCUAAUACCGGGUACGUUCCUCGGAUCGACAGGUCUGGGGAGGAAAGGUGGCGCAAGCUGCCGCUCAUGGAGGGGCUCGCGGCCUAUCAGCUAGUUGGCGGGGUAACGGCCCACCAAGGCUAUGACGGGUAGCUGGUCUGAGAGGACGACCAGUCACACGGGGACUGAGACACGGCCCCGACUCCUACGGGAGGCAGCAGUGGGGAAUCUUCCGCAAUGGGCGAAAGCCUGACGCAGCAACGCCGCGUGGGGAUGAAUGCCUUCGGUUGUAA